Molecule: ribosomal RNA, 98 nt
Filed under: uncultured bacterium
Lineage: Bacteria
Description: partial 16S ribosomal RNA
Rfam family: Bacterial small subunit ribosomal RNA
Source: RNAcentral
CACCGCCCGUCACACCAUGGGAGUUGGUUUCACCCGAAGGCAGUGCGCUAACCCCGCAAGGGAGGCAGCUGACCACGGUGGGAUCAGCGACUGGGGUG